CAAUAGCGUAUAUUAAAGUUGUUGCAGUUAAAAAGCUCGUAGUUGGAUCUCGGGUCCGGGCUCGCGGUCCACCUCGCGGUGGUUACUGCCCGUCCCGACCUACCUACCGGUUUUCCCUUGGUGCUCUUAACUGAGUGUCUCGGGUGGCCGGAACGUUUACUUUGAAAAAAUUAGAGUGUUCAAAGCAGGCGCUUCGCCUGAAUAAUGUUGCAUGGAAUAAUGGAAUAGGACCUCGGUUCUAUUUUGUUGGUUUUCGGAACUUGAGGUAAUGAUUAAGAGGGACAGACGGGGGCAUUCGUAUGAUGGUGUUAGAGGUGAAAUUCUUGGAUCGCCGUCAGACGAACUACUGCGAAAGCAUUUGCCAAGAAUGUUUUCAUUAAUCAAGAACGAAAGUCAGAGGUUCGAAGACGAUCAGAUACCGUCCUAGUUCUGACCAUAAACGAUGCCGACUAGCGAUCCGCUGGAGUUGUUUCAAUGACCCAGCGGGCAGCUUCCGGGAAACCAAAGUCUUUGGGUUCCGGGGGAAGUAUGGUUGCAAAGCUGAAACUUAAAGGAAUUGACGGAAGG
This 567-nucleotide ribosomal RNA is filed under the name Nephtys hombergii. RNAcentral describes it as "SSU rRNA". It matches the Rfam family "Eukaryotic small subunit ribosomal RNA", at positions 592 to 1163 of the family's 1831-position model. The record is from RNAcentral. Lineage: Eukaryota; Metazoa; Annelida; Polychaeta; Phyllodocida; Nephtyidae.